Molecule: unclassified non-coding RNA, 179 nt
Filed under: uncultured Chaetothyriales
Lineage: Eukaryota; Fungi; Ascomycota; Eurotiomycetes; Chaetothyriales
Description: sequence contains ITS2
Source: RNAcentral
UCACCCCUCAAGCCCCCGGCUUGGUGUUGGACGGUUUAGCCUUGGGUGACGAGGCCCGUCUUAAAAUCAAUGACGGCGGCCUGUUCGACCCCCGGUACACUGAGCUUCUGAACUGAGCACGUAUCGGUUGAAGGGUAGGCAGGACCCGGUCUUCUUUCUUAACCGGAAACUCUUUUCAA